UACGUAGGGAGCAAGCGUUGUUCGGAUUUACUGGGCGUAAAGGGUGCGUAGGCGGUCGCGCAAGUCGGAUGUGAAAUCUCAGGGCUCAACCCUGAAACUGCAUUCGAUACUGCGUGGCUAGAGUGCUGGAGAGGAGACUGGAAUUUACGGUGUAGCAGUGAAAUGCGUAGAUAUCGUAAGGAAGACCAGUGGCGAAGGCGAGUCUCUGGACAGCAACUGACGCUGAGGCACGAAGGCCAGGGGAGCAAACGGG
This 253-nucleotide ribosomal RNA is filed under the name uncultured bacterium. RNAcentral describes it as "partial 16S ribosomal RNA". It matches the Rfam family "Bacterial small subunit ribosomal RNA", at positions 524 to 776 of the family's 1533-position model. The record is from RNAcentral.